RNAcentral lists this unclassified non-coding RNA (793 nucleotides) under Zea mays. RNAcentral's name for it is "misc RNA Zm00001eb079120". Lineage: Eukaryota; Viridiplantae; Streptophyta; Magnoliopsida; Poales; Poaceae. The record is from RNAcentral.
CUGCUGUUAUAAUAGCAAAGCAGAGCACACGUCUUCAGGUUUCUAUUACGGCAGGAACUGCACCUUGCCGUUCCCUCAACUUUCAGCAGCAAGUUUCAGCAUACAAGUUUCAGCAUUCCCUACAGCAUUACGGCAGGAACUGCACCUUGCCGGUUCCCUGAACUUUCAGCAGCAAGUUUCAGCAUACACUGCUCCUACAUUUCAGCCAGCUAUCCAAGCAGCGACGAUGCGGGGGGAGGUGGCCGCAACCACAAGCAGAGAGGAGCUCGAUGAGGCACGCUGCAGGGAGGUCUCCCUGGGCGCGGAGAGGAGCUUGACUAGGCGCUGGCAGGGAGAUCUCUGUGGCGGCUAGGAGCUGGCCGUGAAGGUCUCUGCGUGGAAGGAAAGGCUGGGAACUGGGAGCUGGCGGCGGCGCAGCGGGGCGGCGGGGCCGCUGGAGCUAGUGGCGGGGCUGCCUGGCGUCGAGCAGUUGGCCGAGGAGGCCUGGCAGCGGGGUGGCACGGCGGCGAUCAGCUGGUGGCGGGUGGCCUGCGACGACGUAGACGGGAUGGGGAUCGAUUAGAAAUGAAGAUAGGGUUGUGGGCCCCACCUGUAGGUGUUCAAAAAAAAGCGGGCCGUGCUGUCGCAAAACGGCAAAAGCUAUGGAGUCGGUGUGCGGGUGCUUUUUCUGAGGUCUGAGCACGUGGAAUGAGUUAUGGACAAAACUGAGUAAGAAGAAAAAUAGGAUGGGAUAAGGUCAUCCCUAAUUUAAGGGUAGGGUCAUCUUUAAGAGUCAUUACUGUUUUUGUUUGGG